Molecule: long non-coding RNA, 527 nt
Filed under: Bos mutus (wild yak)
Lineage: Eukaryota; Metazoa; Chordata; Mammalia; Artiodactyla; Bovidae
Description: lncRNA (ENSBMUG00000003986.1)
Source: RNAcentral
CUCUCUGACAGGGCAUCUGAGGUCGGAGGCUGCGGGCUCUACCCCGGGGCCGAUCCAGUUCAGGGAGGUCAGAAAGGCAGCUCGGAACGCGCCCAACCGGGACUGGAAACGUGUGAAACUCUCGGUUCAGCCCGAUUCCGCCUCGUCCAGGCAGCUUGUCUUGGGGGCACCCUAACCUCUCCGAACCUCAGUUUCCCCAUCUUGGGGUCACUGAAGCCGGAAGUUGUAGAAGCACCUAGGAAGCUACGGGGUCCUGCAUCCGGACCAGUUUCCGGCUUUGCGCUCCCCGGUCUACACCCUCGAGGGCAGGCGGAGGCGGUUACCCCGAGAGUUCCGCUGGGUUGGAGCCCAUCAGCAGACGCCUUCCGAUUGAUGGUUGAAUUCGGCCAGUUCGCCACUUGAGACCUGCCCGUUUCUGGAUUUUAAUGGCCUUUUUUCCCAGGCAGAGGUGAAAGAAACCCGGGAAGCCUCCUGGAAAUCCCAUGUGAGUUCUCCUCAAAUACCCCCAAAUAAAUAUGCUCUGAGUG